This is a long non-coding RNA of Betta splendens (Siamese fighting fish), 1052 nucleotides long. RefSeq lists it as uncharacterized. The record is from RefSeq and is a predicted model, not a curated record. The transcript has 4 exons. Lineage: Eukaryota; Metazoa; Chordata; Actinopteri; Anabantiformes; Osphronemidae.
GCACGGUUCUCAGUGAACAUACUCCACGGCGCUCGCGGUGCCCACUCACUGCAUCUCUGCACCUCGCUACCGGACUAGCAUGUGCACAACACAAGUCAAAUUUAGCCCGGGCCUCUCCAGGAAGCAGAUGGCGGGAACUCCCUGCAAAUAACCAGAGAUGGGAGAGGAAAUGGGGCUGCUGAUUUGAGGGAAUCGCUCUGGUGCCAAUCAGGUCAACGCGCCUCUUUUUGUUCCUUUUCCUGCUCAAGUCCGAUUUUUGGAAAUGCUCCGAUUGCCUCUUUGACUUCUGAAACGGCCUUAAUUAAAACCGGCUCUUGAUGAGUGAAUGAAGUGGUUUAAUUCCUGGUUGCAUCAACCCCCUGUCACAACCUUCCAAGGACUUGAGGAAAUAAAACUUAAUGCUAGAAACAUUCUUCAGAUAUAUCCUACAAUGUAAGAAAACGCUGCAGAAGACGGAACCGCCCAAACUAACACGUCAGCGAGACAAGCAGAGAAGGCCGAUGAGCUGUCGAGUCAAAUGGCCUCUAGAUGAAAUGCUGUCCCGCGGAGCACUUGGCAGCGAUCAGCGCAACCAGCGCCGUGGAGCAGGAUUCCAGUGGGCAUCCUCCUCCAACACAUACCAGCACAUGUACAGAGCAGGGGAACCGGCCCUGGUUCUCCAGAACCGCCGCCCCGACCCGGGACAGAGACACAACCUCCCGUUUGUCCAGCACUGCUGCUGUUUGACCUACAGAGACCCAGGUGUGUGUGUGUGUGUGUGUGUGUGUGUGUGUGUGUGUGUGUGUGGCUGCAGCAGUUCUGUCUAGGGAACGCAGCGGUGACAACAGGCUCAUUUGCUGCAUGAUUAUCAGCGGGGUUGUUGCAAGUGGGAGAAGGAAGAAAGGCCGCCUCCGUACGCGCUCGCUCACAAACAAACAGGAACGCUGGCUUGUUCAAGCCAAUUAUGCAGGCCAGUAACCUGCCAUAUGGCUGCUGCUGGUUCACUGUGUGUGUGUGCGCGCGUGUGUGCAUGUGUGUGCAUGCAUAUGUGUGUGUGUGUGUGUGUGUGUGUG